Long non-coding RNA from Pezoporus flaviventris, 330 nucleotides. RefSeq lists it as uncharacterized. The record is from RefSeq and is a predicted model, not a curated record. The transcript has 2 exons. Lineage: Eukaryota; Metazoa; Chordata; Aves; Psittaciformes; Psittacidae.
UCAAGACCUGAUGAAUUUGGAGCAUCUCUGAAGUCAGACCUUCCAGGUACAGCUAAAGCACUGCAGCCAUGGGAACAGAUGGAGAGAAACUCCCCAUGGAUAAACUCAUCUGGAAAAUGGAAGAUGAAGCUCCUUAGGCAGCAGAACCGGGAACUAAACAGGCUUCAGGAUGCAGCAGGGCAGGUUCAACUCAAGGAUUGUGUGAUGCAAGUGUCAGACCAAACCAGGGGCUUGUGCCUGGGAUUCAGGAAACCUGCCUCCAGUUUUUCUGUACCAAAGGGUCUGAGGCCAAGUUUCUGUCUGAGAUUGGAUUCAAAACUACACUAAACU